CAAUGCGUCGAAUGAAGUAUUUCUUUAUCUGUAUUCGUGUCCCUUGUAACAUGUUUUAAUUUUUUUAGUUAAUGUGUGGGAGACAUUCACAUGUGGUCAUAAAUGAACUACUCCAGAAAUAAGAUUAAUUAAUUAAUUAAUAGAUUAAGAAUUAGAUAAAUUAAUCAAGAUAUAGCUGUGAUAAAGAUUUGAUACGAAGGAUCUUCUCCAAAAAUAGAUUUGAUAUCAAGGAAAAGGUAUUAUAAAUUCAGCCCGAAGAUUCUUUCGGCCUAAACUGGCCACUAUGUUUUACGAAU
RNAcentral lists this long non-coding RNA (296 nucleotides) under Salvia miltiorrhiza (redroot sage). RNAcentral describes it as "long non-coding RNA (SMIL_LNC010098)". Lineage: Eukaryota; Viridiplantae; Streptophyta; Magnoliopsida; Lamiales; Lamiaceae. The record is from RNAcentral.